GAUGAACGCUGGCGGCGUGCCUAAUACAUGCAAGUCGAGCGAACAGACGAGGAGCUUGCUCCUCUGACGUUAGCGGCGGACGGGUGAGUAACACGUGGAUAACCUACCUAUAAGACUGGGAUAACUUCGGGAAACCGGAGCUAAUACCGGAUAAUAUAUUGAACCGCAUGGUUCAAUAGUGGAAGACGGUUUUGCUGUCACUUAUAGAUAGAUCCUCGCCGCAUUAGCUAGUUGGUAAGGUAACGGCCUACCAAGGCGACGAUGCGUAGCCGACCUGAGAGGAUGAUCGGCCACACUGGAACUGAGACACGGUCCAGACUCCUACGGGAGGCAGCAGUAGGGAAUCUUGCACAAUGGGCGAAAGCCUGACGGAGCAACGCCGCGUGAGUGAUGAAGGUCUUCGGAUCGUAAAACUCUGUUAUUAGGGAAGAACAAAUGUGUAAGUAACUCUGCACGUCUUGACGGUACCUAAUCAGAAAGCCACGGCUAACUACGUG
Molecule: ribosomal RNA, 497 nt
Filed under: uncultured bacterium
Lineage: Bacteria
Description: partial 16S ribosomal RNA
Rfam family: Bacterial small subunit ribosomal RNA
Source: RNAcentral